GACGAACGCUGGCGGCGUGCCUAAUACAUGCAAGUAGAACGCUGAAGAGAGGAGCUUGCUCUUCUUGGAUGAGUUGCGAACGGGUGAGUAACGCGUAGGUAACCUGCCUUGUAGCGGGGGAUAACUAUUGGAAACGAUAGCUAAUACCGCAUAACAAUGGAUGACCCAUGUCAUUUAUUUGAAAGGGGCAAAUGCUCCACUACAAGAUGGACCUGCGUUGUAUUAGCUAGUAGGUGAGGUAACGGCUCACCUAGGCGACGAUACAUAGCCGACCUGAGAGGGUGAUCGGCCACACUGGGACUGAGACACGGCCCAGAAUCCUACGGGAGGCAGCAGUAGGGAAUCUUCGGCAAUGGGGGCAACCCUGACCGAGCAACGCCGCGUGAGUGAAGAAGGUUUUCGGAUCGUAAAGCUCUGUUGUAAGUCAAGAACGAGUGUGAGAGUGGAAAGUUCACACUGUGACGGUAGCUUACCAGAAAGGGACGGCUAACUACGUG
Molecule: ribosomal RNA, 497 nt
Filed under: uncultured bacterium
Lineage: Bacteria
Description: partial 16S ribosomal RNA
Rfam family: Bacterial small subunit ribosomal RNA
Source: RNAcentral